GUAGGGGGCAAGCGUUGUCCGGAUUUACUGGGCGUAAAGAGCGUGUAGGCGGCCAGGCAGGUCUGUUGUGAAAACUGGAGGCUCAACCUCCAGACGUCGACAGAAACCGUCUGGCUAGAGUCCGGAAGAGGAGAGUGGAAUUCCUGGUGUAGCGGUGAAAUGCGCAGAUAUCAGGAAGAACACCGAUGGCGAAGGCAGCUCUCUGGGACGGUACUGACGCUGAGACGCGAAAGCGUGGGGAGCAAACAGGAUUAGAUACCCUGGUAGUCCACGCCGUAAACGAUGGGUGCUAGGUGUGGGAGGUGUCGACUCCUCCCGUGCCGCAGCUAACGCAUUAAGCACCCCGCCUGGGGAGUACGGCCGCAAGGCUAAA
This 373-nucleotide ribosomal RNA is filed under the name uncultured bacterium. RNAcentral describes it as "bacterial SSU rRNA". It matches the Rfam family "Bacterial small subunit ribosomal RNA", at positions 527 to 898 of the family's 1533-position model. The record is from RNAcentral.